AGCGAACGUUUGCGGCGGGCCUAACACAUGCAAGUCGAACGCACUAGCAAUAGUGAGUGGCGCACGGGUGCGUAACACGUGGGUAGUCAACCCUUCAGCUUGGGAUAACGACUUGAAAGGGUCGCUAAUACCGGAUACGGCGCGGGAGGCUUCGGCUUCUCACGAGAAAGCCUCGCAAGGGGCACUGAAGGACGAGCCUGCGGCCCAUCAGCUAGUUGGUGAGGUAAGAGCUCACCAAGGCGAAGACGGGUAGCUGGUCUGAGAGGAUGAUCAGCCACACUGGAACUGAGACACGGUCCAGACUCCUACGGGAGGCAGCAGUGGGGAAUAUUGCGCAAUGGGCGAAAGCCUGACGCAGCCACGCCGCGUGAGCGAUG
RNAcentral lists this ribosomal RNA (377 nucleotides) under uncultured bacterium. RNAcentral's name for it is "bacterial SSU rRNA". It matches the Rfam family "Bacterial small subunit ribosomal RNA", at positions 29 to 410 of the family's 1533-position model. The record is from RNAcentral.